GGAGAGUGAAGAGUACUGUUGCCAAUGAAUCAUAGGAGGAGUGAGAGAGGCUCAGAAAUCAGCCAGGCUUGUCAAAAUAGGAUGCCUGGAGUCUCCACCAGGGCUGAAUGGAUACUAUGUCACUUAGGUUUCAGAACCAGAACACAGGCUGGG
Molecule: long non-coding RNA, 153 nt
Organism: Mauremys reevesii (Reeves's turtle)
Lineage: Eukaryota; Metazoa; Chordata; Testudines; Geoemydidae
Exons: 3
Source: RefSeq, a predicted model, not a curated record